GGAGUCUACAAUGGCGAAUCCCAAAAUUUAAUCCGCCAUAGCCCAAAAGCUUCCUUCAAUGUUCUUCAUCCAACAUUUCUCUGGUCAAUUCGAAUUCCUCUAAUUCCUGAAAAGAAUCCCAUUUCUCCAAUGUCUUGCUCUUCAUCUUCUACUGUAUACUUUCCUCUUCAUAAACCACUCAACAAAUCCACCCCUUUUUCUCCCAAUUCUCAAGUUUUUUCAUCAAAAGGAAGAAUUUUAGGCCGACCCAUUAGAUGCGAAUCAUUGGAACUGAAACCCAAAUCGCCACCCUCAAAUGGGUCGGUGUAUCCAGGCGGAAUGGGGCCGUACACAGGGAGAGAUCCGUCGGUGAAGAAACCAGGUUGGUUGAGGCAAAAAGCACCACAAGGGGAGAAGUAUGAAGAGGUGAAGGAAACGCUAUCUGGGCUUAAACUUAACACUGUUUGUGAAGAAGCUCAGUGUCCUAAUAUUGGAGAAUGUUGGAAUGGUGGUGGAGAUGGUAUUGCUACUGCUACAAUUAUGCUUCUUGGAGAUACUUGUACGCGUGGGUGUAGAUUUUGUGCUGUUAAGACUAGUAGAAAUCCUGCUCCUCCUGACCCUAUGGAACCUGUUAACACUGCUAAAGCUAUUGCCAGUUGGGGUGUGGAUUACAUUGUCUUAACUAGUGUUGAUCGUGACGAUAUACCUGAUGGAGGGAGUGGUCACUUUGCUGAAACAGUCAAAGCAAUGAAGUUGCUCAAGCCUGAUAUCAUGGUCGAGUGUUUAACUUCUGAUUUCCGUGGUGAUCUAAGUGCCGUGUCUACUCUAGUGCACUCUGGAUUGGACGUUUUUGCACACAACGUUGAAACUGUGAAACGACUUCAACGCAUUGUUAGAGAUCCUAGAGCAGGGUAUGAACGAAGUCUAUCUGUGCUUAA
RNAcentral lists this unclassified non-coding RNA (917 nucleotides) under Hevea brasiliensis (rubber tree). The record is from RNAcentral. Lineage: Eukaryota; Viridiplantae; Streptophyta; Magnoliopsida; Malpighiales; Euphorbiaceae.